AGUCUGAUAGUUGGGUCAAUGGUGGUUCCAUUCCAUGUUUUCUGAGGAAUCUCCAUACUAUUUUCCAUAGUAGUUGUACCCAUUUGCAAUCCCAUCAGCAAU
RNAcentral lists this microRNA precursor (102 nucleotides) under Marmota monax (woodchuck). The record is from RNAcentral. Lineage: Eukaryota; Metazoa; Chordata; Mammalia; Rodentia; Sciuridae.